UUCUAUGCACAUCAUCUAUAUAUCUAUAUAUUGCCUUCGGCACAUUGUAGUAGCUGGUCGGAAAAAGGACGGUCGCAAAUACGUAUAAUAUAAAUAUACGCACAAAAUUAGCUGCCAUCUCCUCUCCAUUCUGACCAGCAACACUGUACAAAAUAUGUCUUAAUUUCGACCUAUCUGCAUGCCGAUAGUCACCAUCGAAAUAUUUAUC
Molecule: long non-coding RNA, 208 nt
Filed under: Ananas comosus (pineapple)
Lineage: Eukaryota; Viridiplantae; Streptophyta; Magnoliopsida; Poales; Bromeliaceae
Description: long non-coding RNA (ACOM_LNC044090)
Source: RNAcentral